UAUAAAUGCAGUUGUGGGUUUCCGUGUCUAACGUUUAACCGUCCGUCUUAUUUGAAAAGAAUAUUAUUAGCAUUUUUAUUGUAAUUACAUGACAAAAUAUAAAUAGUACUUUAUGUGUGGCUUUUUUUAAAAAAUAUAUAAUUUUUUCAAAUAAGAUGGACGAUCAAAUAUUGGACACGGAAUACCAUAACUGCAUGGACG
MicroRNA precursor from Oryza rufipogon (brownbeard rice), 201 nucleotides. It matches the Rfam family "MIR812 microRNA precursor family". Lineage: Eukaryota; Viridiplantae; Streptophyta; Magnoliopsida; Poales; Poaceae. The record is from Rfam.